UUUUCUUGAAGAAAAAACAAAACAAAAGCAUAGAAUCAAAUUUCACCAAUGAUCCUGUUUUGACAUAGGUAUAGCACGGAGCAAAAGUUGCCAAGCAGAACAAGACUAGAGCACAACUACAGUUUUGUGCUGAAAUAAGUUUAUAUUAGUAGGUCUGAGAAAACUUCAAUAGUAUUGUGGCAAAAUAAACUCUUUCUGACUGGUUCUUCAAUAA
Molecule: long non-coding RNA, 214 nt
Organism: Oxyura jamaicensis (ruddy duck)
Lineage: Eukaryota; Metazoa; Chordata; Aves; Anseriformes; Anatidae
Exons: 3
Source: RefSeq, a predicted model, not a curated record